GUUUGCUUGUUCAGCUGCUGCAGCCUGGACAGAAACGCCAGCUCUCACCUUACAAACCAAACAGGUGUCACCACUUCAUCCACGAUCGCAGAGACUCUUCGUACAAUGAAGGAAGUUUUUUGAGACCAGGACAGAGGCCUCCAGGAUUCAAACUUCAACCAUUAAAUCUGAGAGAGAAGAGAUGGACAUGAAGACAUUUCCAGAAGGUCUUCAGCGGCUGUCAUCCUGCAGAGAUAAGAACACACGUUAAUCACAUUUUUGGACAUAUUUUUAUGCCUUACUAAACUAUGACAUGCGGCUUAAGACAAACAUAACUAUCUUAAAGCAGCGAUCUUACUAUUGUUUUCCACAGACACACACCUCUACAAAGUGUUUGUGGGUUAGGUUACUUUUUUUUUUUUUUUUUUGUUCAUUUCAUUUUGCUAUUUAUUUAUUGCAAUAUGAGUACUCAAACCCAGUCUAUUACUGUGUACAUAGUCCUGUUUAUAUAUUGUUAUACAUUAUCUUAUUUUAUAUCAUGCCCGUUUCUAUUUUUGCUCCUGAACACUGAAUUUCCCUGCUGUGGGACUACUUACUCAAAUAAAUACUUCUGAACACUGAAUA
Lates calcarifer (barramundi perch) is the source of this 603-nucleotide long non-coding RNA. RefSeq lists it as uncharacterized. Lineage: Eukaryota; Metazoa; Chordata; Actinopteri; Centropomidae. The record is from RefSeq and is a predicted model, not a curated record. The transcript has 4 exons.